RNAcentral lists this ribosomal RNA (519 nucleotides) under uncultured eukaryote. Its description in RNAcentral is "SSU rRNA". It matches the Rfam family "Eukaryotic small subunit ribosomal RNA", at positions 1161 to 1700 of the family's 1831-position model. The record is from RNAcentral.
AGGGCACCACCAGGAGUGGAGCCUGCGGCUUAAUUUGACUCAACACGGGAAAACUCACCCGGCCCGGACACUGGAAGGAUUGACAGAUUGAGAGCUCUUUCUUGAUUCAGUGGGUGGUGGUGCAUGGCCGUUCUUAGUUGGUGGAGCGAUUUGUCUGGUUAAUUCCGAUAACGAACGAGACUCUAGCCUACUAAAUAGAUCGUCGGCUUACAAACGCCGAUGAGACUUCUUAGAGGGACAGGCGGCGAUUCAGCCGCACGAAACAGAGCAAUAACAGGUCUGUGAUGCCCUUAGAUGUCCGGGGCCGCACGCGCGCUACACUGAAGUGAUCAGCGUGCAUUUUCAGCCUACUCUGCCAAGAGUGGGAAACCCAAUGAACCUUCUUCGUGAUUGGGAUAGGGGAUUGUAAUUAUUCCCCUUGAGCGAGGAAUUCCCAGUAAGCGCGAGUCAUAAGCUCGCGUUGAUUACGUCCCUGCCCUUUGUACACACCGCCCGUCGCUACUCCGAUUGAUGGUUUAG